Molecule: ribosomal RNA, 367 nt
Filed under: uncultured organism
Description: bacterial LSU rRNA
Rfam family: Bacterial large subunit ribosomal RNA
Source: RNAcentral
CUUUACUGUAACCUGGAAUUGGGUUCGGGCUUUGCUUGCGCAGGAUAGGUGGGAGGCGUUGAGAUAUUCCUUGUGGGGAAUGUGGAGCCAACGGUGAGAUACCACUCUGGUGAGGCUAGAAUUCUAACCCGAUGCCGUGAACCGGCUCGGGAACAGUUUCAGGCGGGCAGUUUGACUGGGGCGGUCGCCUCCUAAAAGGUAACGGAGGCGCGCAAAGGUUCUCUCAGGCUGGUUGGAAAUCAGCCGUAGAGUGUAAAGGCAGAAGGGAGCUUGACUGUGAGACCUACAAGUCGAACAGGGUGGAAACACGGCCUUAGUGAUCCGACGGCGCUGCGUGGAAAGGCCGUCGCUAAACGGAUAAAAGUUA